GUGGGGAAUUUUGGACAAUGGGCGCAAGCCUGAUCCAGCAAUGCCGCGUGUGUGAAGAAGGCCUUCGGGUUGUAAAGCACUUUUGGCAGGAAAGAAAUAGCGCGUGCUAAUACCAUGCGCGAAUGACGGUACCUGCAGAAUAAGCACCGGCUAACUACGUGCCAGCAGACGCGGUAAGACGUAGGGUGCAAGCGUUAAUCGGAAUUAUUGGGCGUAAAGCGUGCGCAGGCGGUUUUGUAAGACAGGUGUGAAAUCCCCGGGCUCAACCUGGGAACUGCACUUGUGACUGCAAGGCUAGAGUGUGUCAGAGGGAGGUGGAAUUCCGCGUGUAGCAGUGAAAUGCGUAGAGAUGCGGAGGAACACCGAUGGCGAAGGCAGCCUCCUGGGAUAACACUGACGCUCAGGCACGAAAGCGUGGGGAGCAAACAGGAUUAGAAACCCCAGUAGUCC
RNAcentral lists this ribosomal RNA (450 nucleotides) under uncultured bacterium. Its description in RNAcentral is "bacterial SSU rRNA". It matches the Rfam family "Bacterial small subunit ribosomal RNA", at positions 354 to 796 of the family's 1533-position model. The record is from RNAcentral.